AUUUAUAUAUAAGGUGUAUAUAUAUAUAUAUAUGUUUUUUUUGUUAUAUAUAUAAUAUGGUAGUAUUCUUAUUGCUUGUUCAUUUAAUAUUUACUAAUUAAUUUGAAGUUUUGUCGGCUUCCGGGGUGGAAGGAAGGUCGGGUGCAUUUACAACUGACCCUACAUUGUUAAGGUGGUUGAAGGUUUUUAACUGCAUGGUCGAUCCCAAAGGAGCUGUCGCCCCGAUCGGUAAUAGAAUGGCUAUUUUCAUCUCGUUUUUUAAUUCUUUCUUCUUCUUCUCUCCUAGUUUGAUGGCUUGUGAGAUGGUAGAGGCUUCUACCAUCGUAUUACGGGAAGAGAUCGCUGAAACUUGGGAGUUCGUUGUGCGACUCCAGGAUGAACGGCUGGGUGUUAUAUCCGACCACUCGUCAUCCCAUCAGUCGGCCAUUUUCGGUUAAUAACUCUAUAAAGGAAAAGAAUUUCCGGUCGGGUUACAAUCCCUUUCGGUUUGGAAGAAGAAGAUGGAGAGUUGACAGGAG
This 518-nucleotide long non-coding RNA is filed under the name Androctonus crassicauda. The record is from RNAcentral. Lineage: Eukaryota; Metazoa; Arthropoda; Arachnida; Scorpiones; Buthidae.